Molecule: long non-coding RNA, 2063 nt
Organism: Rosa rugosa (rugosa rose)
Lineage: Eukaryota; Viridiplantae; Streptophyta; Magnoliopsida; Rosales; Rosaceae
Exons: 7
Source: RefSeq, a predicted model, not a curated record
AAUACACCCCCCUGAAUCAACGACUCCAUCGGUUAUCGACUCCGACUCCGACUCAUAUCGACUUCUCCUCUGUUCCUAUUGGCUUCUUCUUCUUCUCCAACGAAUUACUUGAUUAGGGACCCUUGAACUCAUGGAGAGUGAGCAACACAAUUAAGUUGUAGUGACAUGCUAUAGUAGAGACAUUGCUACACAGCUUGCAACGAUUGAAAAGGUGCCAGAAUUUCUCAAUAUUCUGCUUGCAAAAGAAAAGAAGAGUUAGUCUCUAUCAUUGAUGGAUAGGAGUUGGAUUCAGUUACGCACUAGGGGAAAGCGAGAAUAUAUCAAUGGGGUGAAACAAUUCAUGAAUUUUGCAAUUGCCCACAAGAAGCCAGGGUCUGAAUUAAUUCCUUGUCCAUGCAUGGAUUGCAAUAAUUUUCGUAAAUAUAGCCCAGACCAAGUUGAGGAUCAUUUAUAUGCAAAUGGAAUGGCUAUGUAUUAUACUAAGUGGACAAAUCAUGGAGAAGAAGACAAUGAUUUUGAACCAGAAGAUGAUAUCAUGGAAUUUGAAAAUGAAGAGGAUGUUGAUGAUGUAGUUGAGAUGUUAAAUGAGUUCCAAGCUCAUGAUGAUAGCGAUUCUCAAGAACAUGUCCCUAUCAUGGAAGAAAGUAAGUUUAGACGAUUGAUGAGCGAUGCUGAGCAAGAGUUGUAUCCAGGUUGUCAAAAAUUCUCUAAAUUGUCCUUCAUUGUGAAGUUGCUUCAUUUGAAGAUAAUGUUUCGUGGCAGCAACAAGUUCUUUACAGCAUUGCUUGAUUUAGUCAAGGAGGCAUUACCUGAUGGAAACACAUGUCCCAUAUCUUAUUAUGAAUCAAAAAAGGUUAUUCGUGACUUGGGUCUCAGUUAUGACAAGAUUCAUGCAUGUAAAAACGAUUGUGUACUCUUUUGGGAGAAGUAUGAAUAUAAAUUGGAGUGUCCAGUAUGUAAUGAGCCUAGGUACUCUUCUGAUAAUGGCAAGAAGAAGGUUCCCCAGAAAAUCUUGAGAUACUUUCCCUAAAUCAAGAGAAUUAAUAAAUUUCUUUUUCAUCUACAAUACUUGCUAUGAAUUCUAGAAUUUUUGAUUUGAUCUUUACACAGAAAACAAGCGAAAAAAACAAGACAAACAGGGACAAGUUAGAGAUAACACAUUGUGCAGGGACAAAGGCAUUUAGUCGUCUUAGAACUGAAAAUUGAAAUCCUGAAACUAGAGAGGAAAUUGGUCGUAUUGACCUUUUCAAGCUCACACGAUACAGUGAAAAGAUAUCUGCAUGGGUUGGUGAUACAGCAAAGAAUGCUUUUGAAGAGAUGAAAAAUAUACAAAACGAGCCACAAAUGAAUGAAAAAUCUGGUGAAAUAAUGUCUGCAGAUGAGAUCUAUGAUGAAGUGCAAAAUUGUUGGUCCACCACGAUCAAGCUAUAUACGUGGCUUAGGAGCAGGCCCAAAGCCUAAAAGGUCUAAAUUUUCUGCAAAUGAUGCUCAAGUGAGGCAGGCGAAUCAAAGGGCAUAUGAAGCGGAAAGAAGAGCAAUUCAGCUUGCAGAUGAAUUGAUGGCUGCAAAGUCUACUGCAGCUCAGCAAAAUGAGGAGUUAGAGAUGGUCAAAGCUGGUGCAGCUCAACAAAAUGAAGAGUUAGAGGCAGUGAAGGUUAGUGCUGCUCAACAAAAUGAAGAGUUGGAGGCAUUAAAGGCAAGACAAAAUCAGACUGACACACUUUUACUCAAAUUGAUGGCGCAGUUGUCCUCCCAAAAAUGAAGGUACAGCAUUGAAAAAAUUGGCAGAUGAAAAGGGCAUCAAGCAACAUACAUAUCAUUGAAGGCUUUUGAACUUCUAGGAAGACUUGUAUGUACUUCCUUUUAUUUUGAAAUGGCUAUCAAGGAUGGAUAUUGACAUUUGUAUAUUUUGGAUUUAGAAAGUUAUUAUUUCAAGAUGGAGGUUGAUGUUUAUUAUUGGAUUGAUAUAAUCAACCCUUGUUAACCAUCAGUUUUACAGUACAUUUUCAUAUGGUGGUUUUGGGAUAUUGAAGGCUACUAUUGAGUCGUUUAUUGCAUAAAGA